This 769-nucleotide ribosomal RNA is filed under the name Termitomyces sp. BAB-4762. RNAcentral describes it as "eukaryotic LSU rRNA". The stretch from base 272 to 425 matches the Rfam family "5.8S ribosomal RNA". The record is from RNAcentral. Lineage: Eukaryota; Fungi; Basidiomycota; Agaricomycetes; Agaricales; Lyophyllaceae.
GUUUCCGUAGGUGAACCUGCGGAAGGAUCAUUAUUGAAUUAAACCCUGGUCGGGUUGUUGCUGGCCUCUAAGGGCAUGUGCACGCCUGCCAUCGUUUUCAACCACCUGUGCACCUUUUGUAGACUUUUGGAUAUCUUUCGGGGGGUCACACUCUCGGUUUCGAGGGCUGCCGCUUGGCUUCCCUCGCAUUUCCGGUCUAUGCAUUUCAUACACUCCGUAAAGAAUGUAUUAGAAUGUCUUGUUAUUGGCCUCAGUGCCUUUAAUCAAAUACAACUUUCAGCAACGGAUCUCUUGGCUCUCGCAUCGAUGAAGAACGCAGCGAAAUGCGAUAAGUAAUGUGAAUUGCAGAAUUCAGUGAAUCAUCGAAUCUUUGAACGCACCUUGCGCUCCUUGGUAUUCCGAGGAGCAUGCCUGUUUGAGUGUCAUUAAAUUCUCAACCUAACCAGCUUUUGUGAGCUGGGAUAGGCUUGGAUUGUGGGGGUUUUCUUUGCGGGCUUCAUCUCAGAGGUCGGCUCCCCUUAAAAGCAUUAGUGGAACCUUCUGUUGACCUGUUUCCUGGUGUGAUAAUUAUCUACAUCGUGUGCAGUCAGCUAUCUAACAGGUUUCUGCUUCCAACUUGUAUCACCCUUUUUACUUGGGGGGGAACGCUUUGACCAUUUGACCUCAAAUCAGGUAGGACUACCCGCUGAACUUAAGCAUAUCAAUAAGCGGAGGAAAGUGGUAGCAAACUGACAAGGAUUCCCCUAGUAACUGCGAGGAAAGCGGGAAA